GAUUAACGCUGGCGGCGUGCAUAACACAUUCAAGUCGAACGGAAUAUGGAAACAUAUUUAGUGGCGGACGGGUGAGUAACGCGUGAGCAAUCUACCUUCCAGGUGAGGAAUAACAACCGGAAACAGUUGCUAAUACCUCAUGAUACAAGGACAUCGCAUGGUGACCUUGUCAAAGGCUUGCUGCCUGGAGAUGAGCUUGCGUCCGAUUAGGUAGUUGGUGGGGUAACGGCCUACCAAGCCGACGAUCGGUAGCCGGACUGAGAGGUUGACCGGCCACAUUGGGACUGAGACACGGCCCAGACUCCUACGGAGGCAGCAGUGGGGAAUAUUUGCACAAUGGGCGCAAGCCUGAUGCAGCAACGCCGCGUGAGGGAUUGACGGUCUUCGGAUUGUAAACCUCUGUCCUUGGUGACGAAACAAAUGACGGUAGCCAU
Molecule: ribosomal RNA, 434 nt
Filed under: uncultured bacterium
Lineage: Bacteria
Description: bacterial SSU rRNA
Rfam family: Bacterial small subunit ribosomal RNA
Source: RNAcentral